This 514-nucleotide ribosomal RNA is filed under the name Ascochyta medicaginicola. RNAcentral's name for it is "eukaryotic LSU rRNA". The stretch from base 143 to 296 matches the Rfam family "5.8S ribosomal RNA". The record is from RNAcentral. Lineage: Eukaryota; Fungi; Ascomycota; Dothideomycetes; Pleosporales; Didymellaceae.
GGGUACUAGCGUGUAGCUUUGCCUGCUAUCUCUUACCCAUGUCUUUUGAGUACCUUACGUUUCCUCGGCGGGUCCGCCCGCCGAUUGGACAAUUUAAACCAUUUGCAGUUGCAAUCAGCGUCUGAAAAAACUUAAUAGUUACAACUUUCAACAACGGAUCUCUUGGUUCUGGCAUCGAUGAAGAACGCAGCGAAAUGCGAUAAGUAGUGUGAAUUGCAGAAUUCAGUGAAUCAUCGAAUCUUUGAACGCACAUUGCGCCCCUUGGUAUUCCAUGGGGCAUGCCUGUUCGAGCGUCAUUUGUACCUUCAAGCUCUGCUUGGUGUUGGGUGUUUGUCUCGCCUCUGCGUGUAGACUCGCCUCAAAACAAUUGGCAGCCGGCGUAUUGAUUUCGGAGCGCAGUACAUCUCGCGCUUUGCACUCAUAACGACGACGUCCAAAAGUACAUUUUUACACUCUUGACCUCGGAUCAGGUAGGGAUACCCGCUGAACUUAAGCAUAUCAAUAAGCGGAGGAA